GGUGGCUCAGCAUUCAGAGCAUCUACUUGGCAUGCCAAAGGUCCCAGGUUCAAUCCCUGGCAUCUCCA
This is a non-coding RNA of Podarcis lilfordi (Lilford's wall lizard), 68 nucleotides long. The record is from the annotation of a GenBank genome assembly. Lineage: Eukaryota; Metazoa; Chordata; Lepidosauria; Squamata; Lacertidae.